Molecule: ribosomal RNA, 493 nt
Filed under: uncultured bacterium
Lineage: Bacteria
Description: partial 16S ribosomal RNA
Rfam family: Bacterial small subunit ribosomal RNA
Source: RNAcentral
CGAACGCUGGCGGCGUGCCUCAUACAUGCACGUAGAACGCUGAAGGAGGAGCUUGCUUCUCUGGAUGAGUUGCGAACGGGUGAGUAACGCGUAGGUAACCUGCCUGGUAGCGGGGGAUAACUAUUGGAAACGAUAGCUAAUACCGCAUAAGAGUAGAUGUUGCAUGACAUUUGCUUAAAAGGUGCAAUUGCAUCACUACCAGAUGGACCUGCGUUGUAUUAGCUAGUUGGUGGGGUAAUGGCUCACCAAGGCGACGAUACAUAGCCGACCUGAGAGGGUGAUCGGCCACACUGGGACUGAGACACGGCCCAGACUCCUACGGGAGGCAGCAGUAGGGAAUCUUCGGCAAUGGACGGAAGUCUGACCGAGCAACGCCGCGUGAGUGAAGAAGGUUUUCGGAUCGUAAAGCUCUGUUGUAAGAGAAGAACGAGUGUGAGAGUGGAAAGUUCACACUGUGACGGUAUCUUACCAGAAAGGGACGGCUAACUACGUG